Molecule: unclassified non-coding RNA, 336 nt
Filed under: soil metagenome
Description: partial contains 5.8S ribosomal RNA, internal transcribed spacer 2, and large subunit ribosomal RNA
Rfam family: 5.8S ribosomal RNA (bases 1-120)
Source: RNAcentral
GAUGAAGAACGCAGCGAAAUGCGAUAAGUAAUGUGAAUUGCAGAAUUCAGUGAAUCAUCGAAUCUUUGAACGCACAUUGCGCCCGCCAGUAUUCUGGCGGGCAUGCCUGUUCGAGCGUCAUUUCAUCCAUCAAGCCCCAGGCUUGUGUUGGGGACCUGCGGCUGCCGCAGGCCCUGAAAACCAGUGGCGGGCUCGCUGUCACACCGGGCGUAGUAGAUUUUAUCUCGCUCAGGGCGUGCUGCGGGUUCCGGCCGUUAAAAAGCCUUUUUUACCCAAGGUUGACCUCGGAUCAGGUAGGAAGACCCGCUGAACUUAAGCAUAUCAAUAAGCGGAGGA